Molecule: long non-coding RNA, 201 nt
Filed under: Panax ginseng (ginseng)
Lineage: Eukaryota; Viridiplantae; Streptophyta; Magnoliopsida; Apiales; Araliaceae
Description: long non-coding RNA (PGIN_LNC002065)
Source: RNAcentral
AGAUUUCCUCUCUUCAUCGAUUCUUGCUUCUAGAAUAACGCCCUCUUGAACCUUCUUCUUCACAUUCAUCAGCUCUGAGUAUGUAGCUUGCAUGGCUUUAACUUUAUCGAUUAAAGUCGAUUCUAAUCGUAUAUUCGCUAUCUUCACAUGGGUCUCUAGAGUCUUUAACUCUAUCUUCAUCAUUUGUAAGUUAUACAAAAU